AUGGAGAGUUUGAUCCUGGCUCAGGACGAACGCUGGCGGCGUGCUUUAUACAUGCAAGUCAAGGAGAACCUAUUCUUCGGAAUAGUAGUAAACUGGCGAACGGGUGAGUAACACGUAGGUAACCUGCCCUAGAGAUUGGGACAACUUCGGGAAACCGGAGCUAAUACCGAAUGAUGCAGCGGACCCCUUGGGGUACAGUUGUUAAAGCGGGCUUCGGCUCGCGCUUUAGGAUGGGCCUGCGUCCGAUUAGCUUGUUGGUGGGGUAAUAGCCUACCAAGGCAAUGAUCGGUAGCUGGUCUGAGAGGAUGAUCAGCCACACUGGGAUUGAGAUACGGCCCAGACCUCUACGGGGGGCAGCAGUAGGGAAUUUUGCGCAAUGGGCGAAAGCCUGACGCAGCAACGCCGCGUGAUCGAUGAAGCUUCUAGGAGCGUAAAGAUCUGUCGUGAGGGAAGAAAAAUUCGGAGGUAAAUAAUUUUCGUUUUUGACGGUACCUCACAAGAAAGCACCGGCUAACUUCGUGCCAGCAGCCGCGGUAAUACGAGGGGUGCUAGCGUUGUCCGGAAUCAUUGGGCGUAAAGGGUCCGUAGGCGGUUUAACAAGUCAAUUGUUAAAGACAUCGGCUUAACCGAUGAAGUGCAGUUGAAACUGUUGGAAUAGAGUUUAGGAGAGGAAAGUGGAAUUUCUGGUGUAGCGGUGACAUGCGUAGAUAUCAGAAGGAACACCAAUGGCGAAGGCAACUUUCUGGCCUAAAACUGACGCUGAGGGACGAAAGCGUGGGGAGCGAACAGGAUUAGAUACCCUGGUAGUCCACGCCGUAAACGAUGAGUAUUUGUUGUCGGGAGAUUCGACCCUCUCGGUAGCGGAGCUAACGCGUUAAAUACUCCGCCUGGGUACUACGACCGCAAGGUUGAAACUCAAAGGAAUUGACGGGGACCCGCACAAGCGGUGGAACAUGUGGUUUAAUUCGAUGCAACGGAAAAACCCCUUACCGGGUUAAAAUGUUCACGAAAUUUUUUAAAAACAGCCCCCGAGUUUAAAAAAGAGGGAUCCAGGUGAUGUGUUUGUCGUCACUCUUUGGAGAUUUUGGGGUUUAAAGCCCCGCAAAAAGGAACCCCUUCCUUGUUCCCAGCACAAGGUGGGGACUCUAAAGGAACUGCCUGGAUAAUAGGAGGGGGGGGGAUGAUGUCGUCAGAUGUCCCAUGUCCAGGGCUCACCAAAAAUGGUUAGAAAAAGGGGUUAAAGGAAGGGUUUUACCAAUCCCAAAAAACUAACCCAGUUGGGAACUGCAACUGACCCCAUGAAGUGGGAAUCGCAUUUAUCAGAACGCUACGGUGAAUACGUUCCCGGCCCGUACACCCGCCCGCACGCCAUAAAAUCAAGAGAAUCGGGGGGCCUAACCUUCGGGGGGGGUCGGGUAAGGCGGGAACGGGGCGAAGUCGUAAAAGGUAGCCACCGGAAGGUCCCGGGGGAUCCCUUU
RNAcentral lists this ribosomal RNA (1478 nucleotides) under Fidelibacterota bacterium. Its description in RNAcentral is "bacterial SSU rRNA". It matches the Rfam family "Bacterial small subunit ribosomal RNA". Lineage: Bacteria; Pseudomonadati; Fidelibacterota. The record is from RNAcentral.